UGGGGAAUAUUGCGCAAUGGGCGAAAGCCUGACGCAGCUACGCCGCGUGGGUGAUGAAGGCCUUCGGGUUGUAAAGCCCUGUCGGGAGGGACGAAGUUCUGACGGUACCUCCCAAGAAAGCACCGGCUAACUCCGUGCCAGCAGCCGCGGUAAUACGGAGGGUGCAAGCGUUGCUCGGAAUCAUUGGGCGUAAAGCGUACGCAGGCUGUUCGUUAAGUCGGGUGUGAAAGCCCGGGGCUCAACCCCGGAACUGCGCCCGAAACUGGCGAGCUUGAGUGCGGGAGAGGGAAGCGGAAUUCCUGGUGUAGAGGUGAAAUUCGUAGAUAUCAGGAGGAACACCGGUGGCGAAAGCGGCUUCCUGGCCCGACACUGACGCUCAUGUACGAAAGCGUGGGGAGCAAACAGGAUUAGAUACCCUGGUAGUCCACGCCGUAAACGAUGAGUGCUAGCUGCUGGGAAUGUUUACCGUCUCAGUGGCGAAGCUAACGCAUUAAGCACUCCGCCG
This 505-nucleotide ribosomal RNA is filed under the name uncultured Pseudomonadota bacterium. RNAcentral's name for it is "bacterial SSU rRNA". It matches the Rfam family "Bacterial small subunit ribosomal RNA", at positions 355 to 873 of the family's 1533-position model. Lineage: Bacteria; Pseudomonadati; Pseudomonadota. The record is from RNAcentral.